CCAUAUUAUACAACAUUUGUAUGAGCCUUAAACAUUUAAAUAAAUCCAAACUUUCAUUACAACACAUAGAUACAUGCUCCCCACUUCUCUGAUCAUAUAAGGUCGAGAAGAGUACCUGGAUAUCGAAAUAAAGUAAAAUAGAGUAAGGGCUCAACACAACAAAACUAACGAGAAUAACAGCAAAUCAACAAUAAUCAACCUUUCUUCAAACCAUAUUUUAACCAAGAAAACAAGCAGAGAAUUUCUAAAGUUUUGCUAAAAAAAGAACGAGAGAUAAUCCAGCAAUGCAGAAAACUUUGUAUUUUUUUAGGGCUCAGAUCUCUGUGUGUUUUUUGAACUUUUUGUGCAGAGGAAAUGCUGAUGAUCUGUGUGUGUGAGUAAGGGAAUGUUUUCCUUUUAUAGAGUGCACAAAACGGCAUCAAAAAGGAAUAUUCUAACCUAAAAAUUCUAAAAAUCAGAAUAGUACAACAUCUUUUACAGUUGUUUGUCCUUUUUCUUAUCCAAUAUCAGCAUUUAUGCUAAGGAUGAGGACAACUGCGCAGAAUCUAGAACAUUCUAAUUUUUAACCUAUGUGAAAACCCAAUUUUACCCUCCCAUUUACUGAUUAUUGCAAUUUUGACCUAUUUUCUGACCUCAAUUCAAUCCCAACCCUCUUUAGGACCUUCAGCUAAGUGAUUAGGUUGCCUAGUGGUAUUGCCAUUCAAUUUCUGAAAUUAAACUAAAGUUUAAAUUGCUGCUUAGAGGUUCAAACCUAAAUUUAAAAUCAGUUAACCCUAAGCAAUCAAUACAUGUAAACUCAGAUUCAGACAACUAAUGAGAUUCAGCAUGCUUUGUGCAAAGAAACAUCAGAAAUCAAAAUUAACUUAUUUUAAAUAAGACUGGGCUGAUUCAGGCUAAAAGCUAAAUCAAUCCAGAUUUAGCUGAAAUAGGCAAUUAAUUAAGCAUUAACCCUAUCCUAAUUGAACUAAUGGACACUGAGAGCACACUUGCAGGAAAAAUAAAUAUGAAAGAACAAAGAACAAAAACAAAAGGGUUAUCGGAAAUUAAACGUGCUAAAACAUGGCAAAUUAAAUUCUUAAUGAUGAAGUUUAAUCAUGCAAUUAAUGAAGCUAAAUUACUUCAAACAAAUAAUCCAACCUAACUCCAAACAAGUAAAAUGUUCAAAUUAACUUAAACAAAUAACCAAUAAAACUAAUUUGAAAAAUUACAUACUCAAAGCACAUUCAAAUAAGCAGAUAAUCAGAAAUUAUCUCAAACAACCAAAGGAAAAAAUCAGAAACAAAACAAGAAAAAAAAAGAAAGAGGAAGGGUACUGUGAACAAAGAAGGGUAUGACCUAGCCAUGCUUCAGUGGUGACUUCGAAAUGGGUCGAAACUAAUGCAAAAUGAUUGCUCUUAUAAAACGCAAUCAAUUCACAUGAGUCUCGGCCCAAGACGAACAAAAUACUCCAAAAAAUGUGCAAGGUUGAACUAGCAUCUCUUCUGGACCCUUUGAUCUAACAUUCACUGAUUUUGGCAGGGUUUCUAGGGUUACUGGUAAGAGAUACGAGGUGAGGGGAGUGUGGUGGUUGUCUGGUUGGAAAUUGGACGGGUUUGAAAAGGUUUGGGUGAACUAGGGUUUGGUAUCAGAUCUAAAAUUGGAGAGAUUUGAGGGAAUUGGUUUGGGGAUUUGGAAAGGGGAGAUGACAAGGAUUGUCUGGUUAAAAUUUGGGGAGGUUUGGAGUGGCGCCGCCGCCGUGGGGCGAUUUCUGGCGACGGCGAUGGGCAGAGGUUCAAAGAGAUAAGAGAGAGGGUGAGAGAGACGAAGUGAGGGGGCCUUU
Molecule: long non-coding RNA, 1819 nt
Filed under: Nicotiana tabacum (common tobacco)
Lineage: Eukaryota; Viridiplantae; Streptophyta; Magnoliopsida; Solanales; Solanaceae
Description: long non-coding RNA (NTAB_LNC005952)
Source: RNAcentral